UACGUAGGGUGCAAGCGUUGUCCGGAAUUAUUGGGCGUAAAGAGCUCGUAGGUGGCCUGUCGCGUCGGCUGUGAAAACUCGGGGCUCAACUCCGAGCUUGCAGUCGAUACGGGCAGGCUAGAGUGCGGUAGGGGAGAUUGGAAUUCCUGGUGUAGCGGUGGAAUGCGCAGAUAUCAGGAGGAACACCGAUGGCGAAGGCAGAUCUCUGGGCCGUAACUGACGCUGAGGAGCGAAAGCAUGGGGAGCGAACAGG
Molecule: ribosomal RNA, 253 nt
Filed under: uncultured bacterium
Lineage: Bacteria
Description: partial 16S ribosomal RNA
Rfam family: Bacterial small subunit ribosomal RNA
Source: RNAcentral